Molecule: ribosomal RNA, 371 nt
Filed under: uncultured organism
Description: bacterial SSU rRNA
Rfam family: Bacterial small subunit ribosomal RNA
Source: RNAcentral
CGUAGGGUGCAAGCGUUAAUCGGAAUUACUGGGCGUAAAGCGUGCGCAGGCGGUUUUGUAAGUCUGUCGUGAAAUCCCCGGGCUCAACCUGGGAAUUGCGAUGGAGACUGCAAGGCUAGAAUCUGGCGAGAGGGGGGUAGAAUUCCACGUGUAGCAGUGAAAUGCGUAGAGAUGUGGAGGAACACCGAUGGCGAAGGCAGCCCCCUGGGUCAAGAUUGACGCUCAUGCACGAAAGCGUGGGGAGCAAACAGGAUUAGAUACCCUGGUAGUCCACGCCCUAAACGAUGUCUACUAGUUGUCGGGUUUUAAUUAACUUGGUAACGCAGCUAACGCGUGAAGUAGACCGCCUGGGGAGUACGGUCGCAAGAUUA